UACGGAGGGGGCUAGCGUUGUUCGGAAUUACUGGGCGUAAAGCGUCCGUAGGCGGCUUGCCAAGUCAGAGGUGAAAUCCCACGACUCAAUCGUGGAACUGCCUUUGAGACUGGUUCGCUUGAAGAUGGGAGAGGUUAGUGGAAUUCCGAGUGUAGAGGUGAAAGUCGUAGAUAUUCGGAAGAACACCAGUGGCGAAGGCGGCUAACUGGACCAUUCUUGACGCUGAGGGACGAAAGCGUGGGGAGCAAACAGG
Molecule: ribosomal RNA, 253 nt
Filed under: uncultured bacterium
Lineage: Bacteria
Description: partial 16S ribosomal RNA
Rfam family: Bacterial small subunit ribosomal RNA
Source: RNAcentral